CUCACUUGUCAGCCUCCUGGCUAAGAUCAAGUGUGGUAUCUGUUCUUAUCAGUUUAAUAUCUGAUACAUGCUUGAUGAGAGGACAUAAAGAUUAUUUCUUGCCCAGAGAAAUUGUGGCUGCCCCAUCCCUGGAAGUUUUCAAGGCCAGGCUGGAUGAGGCUUUAAGCAAGCUGAUCCAA
RNAcentral lists this small nuclear RNA (179 nucleotides) under Cuculus canorus (common cuckoo). Its description in RNAcentral is "U2 spliceosomal RNA". It matches the Rfam family "U2 spliceosomal RNA". Rfam says of the family: U2 is a small nuclear RNA (snRNA) component of the spliceosome (involved in pre-mRNA splicing). Complementary binding between U2 snRNA (in an area lying towards the 5' end but 3' to hairpin I) and the branchpoint sequence (BPS) of the intron results the bulging out of an unpaired adenosine, on the BPS, which initiates a nucleophilic attack at the intronic 5' splice site, thus starting the first of two transesterification reactions that mediate splicing. The record is from Rfam by way of RNAcentral. Lineage: Eukaryota; Metazoa; Chordata; Aves; Cuculiformes; Cuculidae.